AUGACCAAAAUGUGGAAAAGAGAUGAGGCUCCUACUAGAGAUUUCAUGUCGCAUUUUUCAUGAGGAACUCACAGAGGGGAGGCUGAUGCUCUUGAGAUGAGCUUCUUUCCUCUACUUGGUGCUCUAAGCAGCACAAUUCAUUAUUACAAGUACAAAACAGAGUUGGGAAGCUGAAGGAAAGAGUGGAGAGACAGGGUGGCUUCUGCUAUAGGGGAACUGAGGACCAUGGAGCAGUGCCCUGUUUCAGAGCGAGUAACCACAGCCCGCAGGCUGCAGCACAAAACUGGGCUUGCACAGCACACACACUGAAGAGACUCACUUCAGCCUGUGCUGUUGUUAAGGGCCCAGGUCUUAUCCCUCAGGACUGCAAACAUGGCUCUGUACUGUGGAAUGAUUAAAAAACUUUACUGAAUCAGCUGCAGUGUCAUUGUGCUAGCUGCUCCAGGCUUCUCCCUUUGUCCCACUAGAGAUGCAGGCAUUUCAGAAGAAUCCAGCUAAAAGGAGUUGUUUGUCCUUGGUGUAGAAUCACAAUUUCUUGGAAUAGUUGGAAUUGGAAGGAGCCUUUAAAGAUCAUCUAAUCCAGUGCCCCUGCAAUAAGCAGGGACAUCUUCACCUAGAUCAGGUUCUCAGAGAUCCUGGCCUUGAAUGUUCCCAGGGAUGGGACAUCUAGCACCUCUUUGGGCAAACCUUAUAUUUUUUUCUUCCUUUUACCUGAAGUCUUGUAUAUGUAAGUAAUAUUUUUGGUGUGUAUUUUAUCCCCCAGCACACAGUAAAGAAAGGUGACUGCCUUCAUAUGUAUUUCUCCAUCUUUAUUUAAGAUUUUUCUACCUUGAUAGUUUUUUUUUUCAAAGACCUCUAAUCCAAGUGAGCAUUUCAGGUAUCAAAUGCAGCAUUUGUGGAUUUUAUAUGAAGGGACAAAAUGUUUAUAUGAAGGUACAAACAUUUUGGAUUGAUAAAUAAUGUGUGUACUAUUAUUUUUGUAUUAGUAUUAUACCAUACUAAUACUAAUACAAUCACUUUUUUGUUAGUAUUUUGUGUUAGUAUAAAAAACAAUUUUGUGUUUUUACUUCUAUCUGUGCCUGAAAUACUUUUAAGAUAAAGAAAUCCUUCUACUAUGCCACUAAUCAGAGGAUAAUUCAAAGCAAAGUUUCUGCAAGUUAGAAAUAUUCUUCAGGUUGUUUAACAUUUCACAACUCCUGGUUGAGAGAAUGCAAAUGAAGCAAGCCAGUAAGUGAAUACAAAUUGAUGUUACACACUGGUGUUUCUUCUAAAUUCGGCUUGAGGCAUAAAAUAAGAGCUUGAGAAGCCAGUACAACAACCACUAGCUUUUAUGAUUCAUUUACAGUAGUCACAGUGUUAAGCACAAAUGAGCUUGUUGAAGCUA
Molecule: long non-coding RNA, 1384 nt
Filed under: Cyanistes caeruleus (blue tit)
Lineage: Eukaryota; Metazoa; Chordata; Aves; Passeriformes; Paridae
Description: lncRNA (ENSCCEG00000020780.1)
Source: RNAcentral